CCUACGGGUGGCAGCAGUGAGGAAUAUUGGUCAAUGGGCGCGAGCCUGAACCAGCCAAGUAGCGUGAAGGAUGACUGCCCUACGGGUUGUAAACUUCUUUUAUAAAGGAAUAAAGUGAGGCACGUGUGCCUUUUUGUGUGUACUUUAUGAAAAAGCAUCGGCUAACUCCGUGCCAGCAGCCGCGGUAAUACGGAGGAUACGAGCGUUAUCCGGAUUUAUUGGGUUUAAAGGGAGCGUAGAGGGGUUGUUAAGUCAGUUGUGAAAGUGUGCGGCUCAACCGUAAGACUGCCUUUAAGCUUGGCAGUAUUGAGGACGGUGGAGGUAGGCGGAAUUCGUGGGGUAGGGGUGAAAUGCUUAGAUAUC
Molecule: ribosomal RNA, 363 nt
Filed under: uncultured bacterium
Lineage: Bacteria
Description: partial 16S ribosomal RNA
Rfam family: Bacterial small subunit ribosomal RNA
Source: RNAcentral